This 403-nucleotide ribosomal RNA is filed under the name uncultured bacterium. RNAcentral's name for it is "bacterial SSU rRNA". It matches the Rfam family "Bacterial small subunit ribosomal RNA", at positions 355 to 775 of the family's 1533-position model. The record is from RNAcentral.
UGGGGAAUUUUGCGCAAUGGGGGAAACCCUGACGCAGCAACGCCGCGUGGAGGAUGAAAUCCCCUGGGAUGUAAACUCCUUUCGAUCGGGAAGAUAAUGACGGUACCGAGAGAAGAAGCCCCGGCUAACUUCGUGCCAGCAGCCGCGGUAAUACGAGGGGGGCAAGCGUUGUUCGGAAUUAUUGGGCGUAAAGGGUGCGUAGGCGGUUUGAUAAGUUUGGUGUGAAAUCUAUGGGCUCAACCCAUAGCCUGCACCGAAAACUGUCGGGCUUGAGUAUGGGAGAGGUGAGUGGAAUUUCCGGUGUAGCGGUGAAAUGCGUAGAUAUCGGAAGGAACACCUGUGGCGAAAGCGGCUCACUGGACCAUUACUGACGCUGAUGCACGAAAGCUAGGGGAGCAAACAG